This is a long non-coding RNA of Carya illinoinensis, 1579 nucleotides long. RefSeq lists it as uncharacterized. The transcript has 2 exons. The record is from RefSeq and is a predicted model, not a curated record. Lineage: Eukaryota; Viridiplantae; Streptophyta; Magnoliopsida; Fagales; Juglandaceae.
UCAUGCGCAUAUUGCUAAUUGGCAUAGAGAGAAGGCCUUGGAACAUGCAAUUUCUCCUUACCACUAAUUGGCAUAUUGCUGAUCUUGACAAAAUCAGAAGAUCAAUAUACAGUUACGUAGCUUUCUUGGAGCCGAAUCAUUCCUUAAGUUCAUCAAGAAGAGCAAUUUACCAACUUGUAUUUGAAGGAUCUUUGGAUCAGAACCAAAACAAACUUAUAGUUGGAUUUAUUCCUCUGCUGCUGUCAUAGAUGUAUCUUCGUCACUAAUUUCAACAUAAGGGAUGUCAGCUAUCCUGCACCGCUCUUCUCCCUGAUCUUUCUUGCAGCGUUCUUCCAGCAGAAGACAUUGAAUGGUUUCAAGUUUCUGGACCGAGGGAGGUAGGCCAUUCUUUGGGAAGGACUUCAACCUUUGGCAAUUAGAGAUAUGAAGCUCUAGGAGUGACGGAGGCAGUCCAUCCUCCGAAAAACAUGUGAGCUUCUCGAAGUUAUAGACCUACAGUGUUUCAAGACGGUCGAGUUUUCUUAAGCCCUUGGAAGACGGGCUUCCUAGAUUCGAGAGGUCUGAGAUGCAGAGGCUUGUUCGAGAGGUGGGCAACGCCAUCUCUGGAAAAUACACCAGAUUAUGACAUCCACCAAUAUGAAGUUGCUUAAGAAAAGCGAGGUUGUUCUGCGCCCAAAUGAACAAGGCAUCAGGGAUUUCAAGAUGAGAGAUGCCAAGUGUAGUUAUGUUUACGGGAAAACCUUCUACUGGAAAUGGUUGAAUGCUCGGACAAUUCCUUACUGCCUAACUUUGAAGAGAGGUGACGUUUUGUAUACAGCGAGGCAGUGGCUUUAUUUUCUCACAAUGGAGUAUUCAAAGUUGUCUCAGGUUGGUAGGGAGCAAGUCACAUUCAUUCAAUAAUUUGAGAUUUUCACAUUUAGAGAUGGUGAUAUUUUCAAGAGACGAGUUAUCAAGAAAAUUCUUAGCUACUGACUCCAGCUUUGGACAAUUGACAAUACUGAGUUCCCGAAGUGUCGCAGGUAAUUCUCCGUUUGAUAUUAAAGAUUCUAGGGAUGGACAAACCUUAAUGUCCAACUCCUCAAAGAAGAGAUGGGAUGGUACUGCAGUUGUUCAUGGUAUCAUCAUCAUCAUCCUCCGCCAAUUUUGGCAUAUUCUUGCACCCUUUUAUUUCAAGCCUCUUUAAAGUUGGAGGCAGCUCAUGGCCUCUUGCAAAAUGCUUUAGCGAAUCACAUUCAUAAAUACGAAUAAAUGCAAGCCAAGGGCUGUUGUAUAUCAUUGCCUUUGGUAAGGAUUCCAAGGCUUUGCAUUUCUGGAUCCAGAUUGUUUUGAGUGUGGAUGGCAUACCCAGUUGGAGCCCCUCUUCUACCUAAUCUUCUGCCACCAAAUAUAUAUAUGAGUUUCUCACAAUUCCGUAUGUCCAAAUAUUCUAACUUUGUUAGCCCCUCCACAUCAAAUCCUUCUAUUCUACAUUAAGUGAGUUCUGAGAUUGUUUGAACAGAAUCAAAUCUUAUUGACUUGAAUGUAACCUUACUUCUGCACACCACCCCUUCGAAUAUUCUAUCAAUUACUAUUUUGCCUU